This 253-nucleotide unclassified non-coding RNA is filed under the name uncultured Xylariales. Its description in RNAcentral is "sequence contains 5.8S rRNA gene, ITS2, 28S rRNA gene". The record is from RNAcentral. Lineage: Eukaryota; Fungi; Ascomycota; Sordariomycetes; Xylariales.
AACGCACAUUGCGCCCAUUAGUAUUCUAGUGGGCAUGCCUGUUCGAGCGUCAUUACGACCCUUAAGCCUUAGUUGCUUAGUGUUGGGGGCUCGCCGUAAAAGGCGACCCCUUAAAGAUAUUGGCGGAGUCGAGUUGAACUCUGAGCGUAGUAAAUCUUUUCUCGCUUUUUGAAGUCAUCACGGCGACGGCCACUAAACAACCAAUUUUCUAGUGGUUGACCUCGGAUCAGGUAGGAAUACCCGCUGAACUUAA